RNAcentral lists this ribosomal RNA (235 nucleotides) under uncultured bacterium. Its description in RNAcentral is "partial 16S ribosomal RNA". The record is from RNAcentral.
CUGCUGCCUUCCGUAGGAGUCUGGGCCGUGUCUCAGUCCCAAUGUGGCCGGCCAACCUCUCAGUCCGGCUACUGAUCGUCGCCUUGGUGGGCCGUUACCCCGCCAACUAGCUAAUCAGACGCGAGUCCAUCUCAGAGCGAUAAAUCUUUGAUGCCCAGUGCCAUGCGACACAGACAUAUUAUGCGGUAUUAGCAGCUGUUUCCAACUGUUAUUCCCCACUCCAAGGCAGGUUACU